AGAGUUUGAUCCUGGCUCAGAUUGAACGCUGGCGGCAGGCCUAACACAUGCAAGUUCGAGCGGAUGACAGGAGCUUGCUCCUGAAUUCAGCGGCGGACGGGUGAGUAAUGCCUAGGAAUCUGCCUGGUAGUGGGGGACAACGUUUCGAAAGGAACGCUAAUACCGCAUACGUCCUACGGGAGAAAGCAGGGGACCUUCGGGCCUUGCGCUAUCAGAUGAGCCUAGGUCGGAUUAGCUAGUUGGUGAGGUAAUGGCUCACCAAGGCGACGAUCCGUAACUGGUCUGAGAGGAUGAUCAGUCACACUGGAACUGAGACACGGUCCAGACUCCUACGGGAGGCAGCAGUGGGGAAUAUUGGACAAUGGGCGAAAGCCUGAUCCAGCCAUGCCGCGUGUGUGAAGAAGGUCUUCGGAUUGUAAAGCACUUUAAGUUGGGAGGAAGGGCAUUAACCUAAUACGUUAGUGUUUUGACGUUACCGACAGAAUAAGCACCGGCUAACUCUGUGCCAGCAGCCGCGGUAAUACAGAGGGUGCAAGCGUUAAUCGGAAUUACUGGGCGUAAAGCGCGCGUAGGUGGUUUGUUAAGUUGGAUGUGAAAGCCCCGGGCUCAACCUGGGAACUGCAUUCAAAACUGACAAGCUAGAGUAUGGUAGAGGGUGGUGGAAUUUCCUGUGUAGCGGUGAAAUGCGUAGAUAUAGGAAGGAACACCAGUGGCGAAGGCGACCACCUGGACUGAUACUGACACUGAGGUGCGAAAGCGUGGGGAGCAAACAGGAUUAGAUACCCUGGUAGUCCACGCCGUAAACGAUGUCAACUAGCCGUUGGGAGCCUUGAGCUCUUAGUGGCGCAGCUAACGCAUUAAGUUGACCGCCUGGGGAGUACGGCCGCAAGGUUAAAACUCAAACUCAAAGGAAUUGACGG
RNAcentral lists this ribosomal RNA (920 nucleotides) under Pseudomonas sp. Its description in RNAcentral is "bacterial SSU rRNA". It matches the Rfam family "Bacterial small subunit ribosomal RNA", at positions 8 to 916 of the family's 1533-position model. The record is from RNAcentral. Lineage: Bacteria; Pseudomonadati; Pseudomonadota; Gammaproteobacteria; Pseudomonadales; Pseudomonadaceae.